CUAGGUCCAUGGAGAUUCAAGGAAUCGACUCUAUUGGAGUCGAUUCCCUAAUCUACGGCACUCAAUCUGGCUGUCAACAAAGCUGCUCAUGCGGCCGUUUUCGCCAAUUUCAGCUCAAAAGGAGCCCAAAUGUUCUAGAGCUGCUGAACAUCUUUAUAUGUAAGUAAAUUUUUGACUGAUGAGCAAAAAAUAUUUGAGUGGCAGUUCUUUAAAAAAAAGAUAAGUGGGAUGUAGAUAUGGAGAUUUAUAUAUUUUUAAAUUCAAACUUUAUUAAUUUUGAAUU
Danio rerio (zebrafish) is the source of this 283-nucleotide non-coding RNA. The record is from RefSeq and is a predicted model, not a curated record. Lineage: Eukaryota; Metazoa; Chordata; Actinopteri; Cypriniformes; Danionidae.